CCGUCGCUCCUACCGAUUGAAUGGUCCGGUGAAGUUUUCGGAUCGCGGCGACGCCGGCGGUUCGCCGCCGGUGUUGUUGUGAGAAGUUCAUUAAACCUUAUCAUUUAGAGGAAGGAGAAGUCGUAACAAGGUUUCCGUAGGUGAACCUGCGGAAGGAUCAUUGAACACACGAUCUCUGAAAAACCCUGCGAAUCGUUUUGUACAAAGAGGGAUCGUGCCCGGAGGCACGAUCGUCGGUGCCCGAGUCGAGAUUCAUGUGCGUCAGCCUUGAUCGUCCCGUUUGGUGCGCGACGGGAUCGAGUGACUCGGAUGUCAUCGUCGGAUCGCCCCAGAUGCGUAUGAUUCCGGGUCUCUCCGGACUCGGAGUCGGGAAUGCGUCCCCUCCUCCAACGGACGGGGAGUCUCGCCGGGAUCCGCCUGCCGAGCGCAGGACGGGUUUUCGUCCGAUGGCUCCCUCUCCAUUGGUGCCCUUUUUUUUCUCAAGCAACCCGGUAUAACUUAAGAUUAUUUGACUCGUGGGAGUUGGGGAGUGCCGAGGUGUUCCCGAACUCUCACGAAAGGAAAAUUCAAACAAUGACUCUCAGCAACGGAUAUCUUGGCUCUUGCAACGAUGAAGAACGCAGCGAAAUGCGAUACCUAGUGUGAAUUGCAGAAUUCCGCGAAUCAUCGAGUUUUUGAACGCAAGUUGCGCCCGAGGCUCGUCUGAGGGCAUGCCUGCCUGAGCGUCCGCUCCGACCCACCCACGAUCCCUGUUCCUCUUCCAAAAGAGGAAGGCAGGGACAAGUGCGAGUGGAACUGGUCGUCCGGGAACUCUCUCGUCCUCGAGGGGGACGAGUUCGAGAUCAUCGGUCGGCUGAAAACGAGAGCCGUCCGUCAAAACGCACACUGGGACAACGGUGCGUCGCGAGAAGGUGCCGUCCGUCUCCGAUCGUUCUCGAUGGGAGACGGAUGUUUGUUUUAGAGCGACGUGCCUUCCCGGUGGGGUCGAGAUUUGGCGGUUCGGCGAGAGAUUGAAUGAACAUGGGGAGCGGGGAAGACUUUGAACGCUUCCCCCGCGGAACUCUCUCGAAAGAGAUGGGGACGCGCGGGGGGUGUCCAGUCCGAACGCAACGUUGCUCGGACCUCAGAUCAGGCAAGACCACCCGCUGAGUUUAAGCAUAUCACUAAGCGGAGGAAAAGAAACUAACAAGGAUUUCCUUAGUAACGGCGAGCGAACCGGAAGUAGCCCA
This 1229-nucleotide ribosomal RNA is filed under the name Cyclolejeunea convexistipa. Its description in RNAcentral is "eukaryotic LSU rRNA". The stretch from base 576 to 728 matches the Rfam family "5.8S ribosomal RNA". The record is from RNAcentral. Lineage: Eukaryota; Viridiplantae; Streptophyta; Jungermanniopsida; Porellales; Lejeuneaceae.